GACGAACGCUGGCGGCGUGCUUAACACAUGCAAGUCGAGCGGUAAGGCCCUUUCGGGGGUACACGAGCGGCGAACGGGUGAGUAACACGUGGGUGACCUGCCCUCAGCNCUGGGAUAAGCCCGGGAAACUGGGUCUAAUACUGGAUAUGACUCCAUGACGCAUGUUGUGGGGUGGAAAGCCUUGUGCGGCUGAGGAUGGGCCCGCGGCCUAUCAGCUUGUUGGUGGGGNGAUGGCCUACCAAGGCGACGACGGGUAGCCGGCCUGAGAGGGCGACCGGCCACACUGGGACUGAGACACGGCCCAGACUCCUACGGGAGGCAGCAGUGGGGAAUCUUGCGCAAUGGGCGAAAGCCUGACGCAGCGACGCCGCGUGAGGGAUGACGGCCU
Molecule: ribosomal RNA, 388 nt
Filed under: uncultured bacterium
Lineage: Bacteria
Description: bacterial SSU rRNA
Rfam family: Bacterial small subunit ribosomal RNA
Source: RNAcentral